AGUCAGUCGUGUUCUUCAGAUUCAGCUGGUUCUUCCAGUCUACUUCUGUUGAACGGGUCAACAUCAGUUUUGUCCGGUGGAUAAAGGUAGUAGGAAUGUGACUCCCCCGGGAGUGUUAUAGCCUAUUAUUGCAUACACUGGGUGAGACUGAGGACUGCAGCUCGCCUUUUGGCCGGUCUUCGGACACGUUCGAGCUUAGGAUGUUGACAUAAUGGCUUUAAACGACCCGUCUUGA
Molecule: ribosomal RNA, 235 nt
Filed under: Trichosporon beigelii
Lineage: Eukaryota; Fungi; Basidiomycota; Tremellomycetes; Trichosporonales; Trichosporonaceae
Description: partial 28S rRNA
Source: RNAcentral